Molecule: long non-coding RNA, 4809 nt
Filed under: Sus scrofa (pig)
Lineage: Eukaryota; Metazoa; Chordata; Mammalia; Artiodactyla; Suidae
Description: lncRNA (ENSSSCG00000061689.1)
Source: RNAcentral
CAUGGUUUUCUCUGGCUAUAUGCCCAGGAGUGGGAUUGCUGGAUCAUAUGGUAAUUCUAUUUUUAGUUUUUUGAGGACUCUCCAUACUGUUUUCCAUAGUGGUUGCGCCAAUUUACAUUGCCACCAACAGUGUAAUAGGGUUCUCUUUUCUCUAUACCCUUUCCAGAAUUUAUUGUUUGUAGACUUUUUAAUAAUGGCCAUUCUGGUUUGUAUCUCAUAGCAGUUUUGAUUUGCAUUUCUCUAUGUCAGGAAACAAGAAAAAUUUCAAAUAAACAACCUAACUUUACACCUAAAGCAACUAGAGAAAGAAUAGACAAAACUCAAAGUUAGUAGAAGGAAAGAAAUCAUAAAGUCAGAGCAGAAAUAAAUGAAAUAGAAAUGAAGAAAACCAUAGAAAAUAUCAAUGAAAACUAAAAGCUGGUUCUUUUAAAAGAUCAACAAAAUUGAUAAACCCUUAGCCAGACUCAUGAAAGAAAAAAAAAAAAAGAGAGAGAGGAACUCAAAUCGAUAAAAUUAGAAAUGAAAAAGGAGAAGUUACCAUGGACAUCACAGAAAUACAAAGGAUCGUGAGACUACCACAAGCAACUAUAUGCUAAUAAAAUGGACAACCUAGAAGAAAUGGACAAAUUCUUAGAAAAGUACAAUCAUCCAAGACUAAACCAAGAUGAAAUAGACCAAUCACAAGUAUUGAAAUUGAAACUGUGAUUUAAAAACUUCCAGCAAACGAAAGUCCAGGACCAGAUGGGUUCCCAGGCAAAUUCUAUCAAAAUUUUAGAGAAGAGUUAAUACCUGUCCUUCUGAAACUAUUCUAAAAAUUGCGGAAGAAGGAACACUCCCAAACUCAUUCUAUGAGGCAACUAUCACUCUGCUACCAAAACCAGAUAAAGAUACCACAGAAAAAAAAAUUACAGAUCAAUAUCACUGAUGAACAUAGAUGCAAAAAUCCUCAACAAAAUGCUAGCAAACCUAAUCCAGCAAUAUAUUAAAAGGAUUAGGAGUUCCUAUCAUGGCUUAGCAGUAAUGAACCCAACUAAUAUCCAUGAGGACAGGGGUUUGAUCCCUGGCCUCGAUCAGCGGGUUAAGAAUCCAGUGUUGCCGUGAGCUGUGGUGUAGUUCACAGACAUGGCUCAGAUCCUGCGUUUCUGUGGCCGUGGGGUAGGCUGGUAGCUGCAGUUCCAUUCAACCCCUAGCCUGGGGGUUGAAUGGAAUAUAACUUCCAUAUAUUGCAGGUACAGCCUUGAAAAAUCAAACAAAACAACAACAACAACAAUAACAACAAAAAGGAUCAUACAUCAAGGGGAAUUUAUCCCAGGGAUGCAAAGAUUUUUCAAAAUCUGAAAAUCAAUCAGUGUGAUACACCACAUUAACAAACUGAAGAAUAAAAACCAUGGGAUCCUCUCAGUAGAUGCAGAAAAGCUGUUGACAAAAUCCAACAGCCCUUUCUGAUAAAAAGCCUCUAGGAAGUUCCUGUUGAGACUCAACAGUAAUGAAUCUGACUAGCAUACUUGAGGAUACAGGUUUGAUCCCUGGCCUUGCUCAGUGGAUUAAGGAUCUGGCAUUGCCAUGAACUGCAGUGUAGGUUUCAGACAUGACCCCAAUCUGGCAUGCUGUGGCUGUGGCAUAGGCAGCAGCUAAAGCUCCAAUUCAACCCCUAGCCUGGGAAAUUCCAUAUGCUGCAUUUGUUGCCCUAAAAAGACAAAAAAACAAAAAACAAAAAGUGAGCAUAGAGGGAACCUACCUCAACAUAAUAAAGGCCAUAUGUGACAAACUCAGAACUAAUAUCAUUCAAAGGUAAAAAGCUGAAAGAAUUUCUACUGAGAUCAGGAACAAGACAAGGAUGUGUGCUCUCGCCACGUCUAUUCAACAUAGUUUUGGAAGUCCUAAUCAUGGCAAUCAGAGAAGAAAAAGAAAAGGAAUCCAAAUUGGAAAGGAAGAAGUACAAUUAUCACUGUUUGCAGAUAACAUGAUACUAUACCUAGAAAAUCCUUAAGAUGCUGCCAGAAAAAUGUAGAGCUCAUCAAUGAAUUUGAUAAAGUUGCAGGAUACAAAAUUAAUACACAGAAAUCAACUGCAUUCCUAUAUACUAAUAAUGAAAGCUCAGAAAGAGAAAUUAGAGAAGCAACUCCAUUUACCUUUGCAUCAAAAAAAAAAAAAAAACCCUAGAAAUAAACCUACCUAAAGUAACAAAAGACCUGUACUCUGAAAACAAUGACACUGAUGAAAGAAAUCGGUGACACAAACAGAUGGAAAGAUAUGCCAUGCUCUUAGAUUGAAAGAAUCAAUAUUGUCAAAAUGACUGUACUACCCAAGGCAAUCUACAGAUUCAAUGCAAUCAUAUCAAAUGACCAAUGGAAUUUUCACAGAACAAGAACAAAAUAUUUUAAAAUUUGUUUGGAAACACAAAAUACCCUGAAUAGCCAAAGCAAUCCUGAGAAAAGCGAAGCUGGAGGAAGCAGGCUCCCUAACUUGAGACUAUACUACAAAGCUACAAUCAUCAAAACAGUAUGGUGCUGGCACAAAAACAGAAGUAUUGAUCAAUGGAACAGGAUAGAAAGUCUUUUUUUUCUUUUAACAGCCACAUCUGUGGCAUAUGGAAGUUCCUGGACUGGGGUGGAGUUGGAACUGCAACUGGUGUCUAUGCCACAGCCACAACACCACCAGAUCUGAGCUAAAACUGUGACCUAUGCCACAUCUUGGAGCAAUGCUGGAUCUUUAACCUACUGAGGGAUCAAAUCUGCAUCCUCAGAGAGACAACAUCGUGUCCUUAACCCACUGAGCCACAAUAGGAAUUCUUCAGGCUUCUUUACAUGGUGUCUGAGUUCCAAAAGCAGUGAGAGUAAAGGUAAAUCCCAGUGCAUAAGCAUUUUGCAAGCCUCCCUCAGCCUCAUGUUUGCUAAAGACUCAUUGAUCAAGAGAAGUCACAGACCAGAGCUAGAUUCAGGGAGUAGACUCCUGCUGUUCUUGGGAGAAGCUGCAAAACAUUGCAGUCAUCGGUUUGCAAUCAACCACAAGGGCAUCACCUGAAAAUAAAUUAUUAACUUCUUUCUCUGCUCUCUCCACCCUCAAUACUAUGUCAGUUGAUCAUAUACAGUAGAAUUUAAGAAGUAUAAGUACAUAUAAGAUGAAUGAUUAUGCUAGCAUUAGUCUGUUAACCCUUCCUCUCAAAGGUAUUGAUGAAACUUCUAAGACUUGGUUAUCUUAUUUCUCCUGGUUUGGUCUAAACAGUUUUAUAUUCUCACUUAGAAUUCUGUGUCAUCCUCUGAUUCCUUUCUACAUCCUAUAAUGAUCCAACCUGGAUUGGUCACUUCAUCUUAUCUCAGGUCUCAAGUAUGUCACCUAUAACUGCUCACAAAGUUUAGGCACUCUAAAUUCUACAUUUGUACUGCUUUAGUGAUUUCGGUUCCUGCCUUAUAUUCCAUAGGAUCCUCACACUAUGAAGGUUCUGGAGAUGUGAAUUCUUCAUGUGUUCAUUAAAAUGUCUGUAAAUAUCUUCUAGAAAUUGAUCUUUAUGACAAUGAUGUAAGUAAUUUAAUGGACCAGUUAUAGGUUAAGUGUUGCUUUAAAUACUUUUCCCUUUUAGAACUUGGUAAAGCUUCUUUUCUUCACAAUAAGGUGUUUUGCUUCUAAAGCAUUUGGAAUUAAAAACUCUCCACUUGCCACCUUAUUCAUGGAUUUCGCUACUAAACAUUUCAUACCCAUUUCCAUAACAAUUAUCCUGCUUGCUGAGUGUGUCAGAAUAGAAUUUGGUGACUUCAAGAGUUUCAGAAAGACCCUGUCUGCUCGGGCCCCCUCGUCUCUUAUGACUCACCCCCUUGUUUGCUGACCUUCUGUCUCCAGGGCCAUUGUACACAUGAUUCUGUGACUACACCUCUUGUCUCAACUAUUUCCAUGACUGGUUUCCUCUUAUCAGUUUAAAUGUCACCUCCUAGGAGAGAUCUUUUGUUCGUUUGUUUGUUUUAAAUAGUUUUAUUGAGAAAAAAUUACAUUCCAUAAAUUCAUCCAUUGAAAAUGUACAAUACAGUGGGUUUUUUUUUUUUUUUUUUUUUGUCUUUUUGCUAUUUCUUUGGGCCACUCCCGCGGCAUAUGGAGGUUCCCAGGCUAGGGGUCGAAUCGGAGCUGUAGCCACUGGCCUACACCACAGCUCACAGCAACGCCGGAUCCUUAACCCACUGAGCAAGGGCAGGGACCGAACCCGCAACCUCAUGGUUCCUAGUCGGAUUCAUUAACCACUGCGCCACGACGGGAACUCCAAUACAGUGGUUUUAAUAUAUUUAUAGAGUUUUGUAGCCAUCACCAUAAUCUAAUGUUAGAACAUUUUCUUCAUUGCUAGAAAGAAAUUUUAGCAGCCACUCACCAUUUCCCAUCCUUACCUCCAAUCCUAGGCAACCACUAAUAAAACUUCUGCCUCUAUAGAUUUGUCUAUUCUGGAAGUUUCAUAUAAAUGAAAUAACACAAUAUGUUAUUUUAUGACUGGCUUUUUUUCACAUAGCAUAAAUCUUUCAAGGUGCAUCCAUGUUGUAGUAUAUAUUAGCUUUUCCUUCCUUCUUAUGGUGAAAUAAUAUUCCAUUAAAUGGGUAUACAUACCCACUUUUUGUUUCUCAUUCAUUAGUUGAUAGACAUUGAAAUUUUUUCUACUUUUUGGCUGCUAUGAAUAAUGCUAUUAUGAACCUUCAUUUACAAGUUUUCAUGAGGACAUAUGUUUCAUUUCUCUUGGAUAAAUACCUAAGAGUGGGAUUAUGUGGUAACUCUAUUUUUAACUUUUCAAGGAACUUCCAGACUAUUUUCUAAAAGAGCUUUUUCUGACCAUCC